Molecule: ribosomal RNA, 367 nt
Filed under: uncultured diatom
Lineage: Eukaryota; Bacillariophyta
Description: bacterial SSU rRNA
Rfam family: Bacterial small subunit ribosomal RNA
Source: RNAcentral
GGGGAAUUUUCCGCAAUGGGCGAAAGCCUGACGGAGCAAUACCGCGUGAGGGAAGACUGCCUAUGGGUUGUAAACCUCUUUUUUCAGGGAGGAAGAAUGACGUGUACCUGAAGAAUAAGCAUCGGCUAACUCCGUGCCAGCAGCCGCGGUAAGACGGAGGAUGCAAGUGUUAUCCGGAAUCACUGGGCGUAAAGCGUCUGUAGGUUGUAAAAUAAGUCAACUGUUAAAUCUUGAAGCUUAACUUCAAAAUUGCAGUCGAAACUAUUAUACUAGAGUAUAGUAGAGGUAAAGGGAAUUUCCAGUGAAGCGGUGAAAUGCGUAGAUAUUGGAAAGAAGACCAAUGGCGAAGGCACUUUACUGGGCUAUA